This 508-nucleotide antisense RNA is filed under the name Streptomyces dysideae. RNAcentral's name for it is "Streptomyces sp. RV15 Saccharopolyspora sRNA 350". It matches the Rfam family "Saccharopolyspora sRNA 350". Lineage: Bacteria; Bacillati; Actinomycetota; Actinomycetes; Kitasatosporales; Streptomycetaceae. The record is from Rfam by way of RNAcentral.
GUGCCGUGAACUCCCACUUCCUGCCGGACGGCCCGGCCAGCACCUGCCCGCCGAAGGCGUCCCCGUCCGCCAGCAGGCCGAGGACCACCUCGUCGCCGUAGGGCCCCUCGCCGACCUUCUCCACCUUGCCGUGCGCGACCAGGUAGACGUGGUCCGCCUUGCGGCCCUCCUGCACGAUGAUCUGGCCCGGCUCGUACUCCUUCUGCACGAACUUCUCCGCCAGCGCGCCGAGCGCGCCGUCGUCCGUGAAGCCGCGCAGCGGCGGCAGUUCACCCAGCUCCGCGGGCACGACCUGGACCUUCGCGCCGGUCUUCACGAAGGACACCCGGCCGUCGCCCAGGGUGUACGCCAGGCGGCGGUUGACCCGGUAGGUCGCGCCCGGCACGUUCACCCACGGCAGCAUCCGGGACAGCCAGCGGGAGCUGAUCCCCUGCAUCUGGGGUUCGGACUUGGUGGUCGUGGCCAGGUUGCGCGCUGCUGCGGUGCUGAGGCUCUGCUGCUCCUGCUG